This 6029-nucleotide long non-coding RNA is filed under the name Heterocephalus glaber (naked mole-rat). RNAcentral describes it as "lncRNA (ENSHGLG00100046400.1)". Lineage: Eukaryota; Metazoa; Chordata; Mammalia; Rodentia; Bathyergidae. The record is from RNAcentral.
GGACCCGCGAGCCCCGCCCCUGGCCCACGAGUUCCGCCCCAGGCGCGGCUGAGGCCCGAGGAGCCACCGGCGAGCGUGAUGCGCAGCUGAGGGCUGGGAGCUUUCGGCGUCGGCGGGCUUGUCCGCAUCCCCAGUAUCCCGCGGGUCGAAGGCCGGCGUCAGCGUCUUUACAGCCUCUAAAGGAUGAGGUCUGGGUGAGCCGUGGCCGCGUGCAGGGUCCCUGGGGCCGUGGGAGGAAGGUGAGGCACGGCCUGAGUCGGCGGCCUGCUUCUGAGCUCCCUGCCGCGCCCCAGGCCGGGCGGGUCCAGCUCCCCGCGGUCCAGGCGCUGCACCAGGGCCCUGGCGUCGCUGUGUGCUGUUCUUGGGCGCAGAGGGGCCGCCCCACGGUGGAGGUGGGGUCGCUGCAGCCCCCAAAGGUAGAUCAGCUUUUCUUCCCCGUGUCCCGUGGCCCUGACCCCCACACCUAACGGAAGCCGGCGUCGGGAUAAUGCGAGGUCGGUCGAGGCUCAGACUUUCUGAGCUCAGGUAAGUUUCCAAAGUGAGCCUCAAACUUGAGAGGGGAAGGGAGUUGGGGUGCGGAGGGAAGGCUGCGCGGCUCCUGCAGGCCCCGCUCCCGCACGCCCGUAGGAUCCCGACGGAGGGUCAGGGUACGAAGGCCGGACGAGCCGUCCCCCUUUCACUCGGCCGAGCAGCUGUGGCUCCGGUCUCUCUUGCAGCUUUAGGCAUGGGGACCGCAUUCCACCUUCGGAUUUGUAUCGGAUUUCCAUCGUUGCUUUGAUGUUACUGUUCCCUUCGUGGAUAGAGGACUGGGAGAAAUGGAGGAGGUGGGGAUGUGAGAUGCUGAGUGUCAGGCUCGUGGAGCGCCUAGGAUCGUGGCAGGCGGGCCUGACUCACCUCAGUGCUUGUUCAGAAGCGGGGUGCGGUGGGCCCGAGUCGGAAACCGCGGGGAGACAGGUGUGGUGAGCGCCUUCGUCCACCAGGGGCGCCUCGGCCAAGGCGGCGGGAGGAGCCCGGUCCCCGGGUUUGGCCCAGGAACGUGCCCGCCAUCCCGUGGUCUCCACCCCACGCCCGUCUCCAGGCGCACGGUCCGCUCGCCCUCAGCCACCACUCGGCGCCACCUGCAGCUCCUGGUGGGCCCCCAGCUCCCGGUCCGAGCAGGCUCCGCCUGCGGGAAGCGCGGCGCCGGACGCUUUCUCAGCCAAGGACGCCGGGACAGGCGCGAGCGGAAUCGAGGGCUAGCGGUUUGGUGACCCUCGCUUGGUUGUUCCGGAGCCUUUGAGGGAGAGGGCAGCACAGAGGAGACGGCGAGGGGCACCGGGCACCAGGGCUCCUCCAGCGCCCGAGACUAACCUGUGGCAGUGGUAAGCGUGUGAGGGCCGGGGUUUCCUGGCGAGGGGGUCGCUGGGGAGCAGAGGACACGGGUGAGACACGGCCUGACACCCCACAUCUGCCCGAGCAGCGAAGUCUCCACGAACUGGCGUCCACUCCCUACCCCACCCCGGUCCUGCUCCAGUGUCCGAAUGCCACCCCCCCCCCCCCCCGCUCUUUCCAUGCUCCUUCAUCUCAGGUGGGAAGUGAGAACAGUUGUUCAUUCCACCUAACUUAGGCCAGGGAGCGGGGCCCCAGGUCAGGGAGUCCAUUCUGCAGCCCGCUCCCCAGGCUUCCCCCAAGGGCCGGUUCGGUGCCUUCUCGCCUGGUCCUCCAUGUGGUCCGCCUCUCCCCGCCCGACAGGGGAGCCAGUGUCCACGCGGGCCCUGCUGGGGAGGGUGACUCCGGAUAAGCCUUCUCUAACUGGCAGAGAAAACAAGUCUUGGCCUUGAUAACCACAGGCUGCGCAUUAAAAGCAAACACGUUGUCCUCGUCCCUAACGACCGUCAGUGGUUCUGGGUCAUCCGUGGGGAAGAGAAAGGGAUUGGUUUCUCUUGGCAACAGAAGCCCCCCCCCCCCCAGGGGAAGGGGCCCCUCCUGGCCCAGAGUGCUGGGACUGUGCUGCUGCAGGACUCUCAGCGGGCAGACUGAGUCUCAGGGCACAGCAAAGGCAUCCUCUCCAGGCAGCAGUAGGCCCCUUGUGGGGAAACGCGGAUGGAACGGAGCCCUAAAUCCUGCGCUGUGGCUUUGGAGAAACAAGUUCUGAUUCUGUCUUUCACUUAAGUCACGUGGCCGGGGACACAUACCUCUCCUUCCUGAGGUUCCAGGGCCUCACGCGAGUCUGAGUUCGGAUGAGCUACAUUGCAGGGCCCAGGGGCACGUGUGGCUUGGGCAGCACACAUCUAGCCCCUUGUUCACCUAACAAGCAAGGAAGAAAUCCUGAGACUGCUCGCUCCUGUGUGUGGCUCACAAUCCCACCCUUCUUCCUGUGGAAGAGGACUUAGGGGCAGGACAAGCGCCAUGGGGCAGAAGCUCAGUGCCCCUUCUCUCCUUCCAAAGCUGGGGAGAGUGGCCUGGAUUUCCCAUCAGGGCACUGGUCUGGGUGGAAAGCUGUAGUUUGCAGCCCCAGAUGGGGGGUUUCCUCCAGGCCCCUGUGCCUCCCAGCAGAGCCUUCGGCUCCUGGAGGGCAUGCAAUGGCCCAGUGGUCAGUAGAGGCAGGAUCACAGGCAGCUUCCUGAGAGCCAGUAGCCCAGCCUGGGGUACACACAUGGGGGAUCAGCAACCCUCAUACGAGGGCUCUGAAACUUAAAGCCAGAGGAGGCAUUGGCUGGGCUCUUCACCUACUAGGCCCUUUAGUCAUCUGCUGAUGGAGCAACCACCCUCAGGAGAGAGAACUGUGGGGAUGACAGGACCUGCAGCCUAAAGGACGCCCUGCCAGCCCUCUGUUCUCAUUCCUUGGGCUUUAACAGGGCCAGGUGGGAAUUGGGGAUUAUGCCUGCGUGUGUGAGUGUGUGUGUGUGAGAGAGAGAGGAGACAGAACAGACCAUGCUAUCUCCCCACUCCUAAACCUGCCCUGUUCUGGAGUAGAGGGACAAGGAUCUCUCUUCCUUGAAAUUCUAAACAGCAGCUAGACUCUUUCAGCCCUGCAGUGACUGCAGAGUUCCGGGUUGGCUGAGGUUAUUCUCAAUGGGAUGAGAGACCUGGACAAAGCAGAGCAGUUACUGCUGGAAACAAAGAGCUCAAUCAGCAAAGUUAAAAGCAAAACGAAAACACUUCCAGGUUUGCGUCUGCAGUGUGAAGACCCCUGGACGAAGGGGCGAGGUCUGGGGCGUUGCCAGGUCCUCCUCCCACAGGCAUGGGAGGUGCUUGUACAUGAGGGGUAUGGGACUCCAUGACAUUUCCAGAUAGUUCUGGAAGACUCUGUGAGCUGUCUUCGUGCCCAGCGCUGCUGUGAAGGGAGCCCUUACAGAUGCCAACCCUGCUUCCUAGCUGUAAACCUAGACAAGUUUUUGAAAAAUAUCUGCUGGACAUAGAAAGUACCGGUCAUUCAUUUGUGCUCUUGCUGAUUUCUGUUUCCUCAAGAGGUUUCCCCCAAAUGUCAUUGACUUUCAGUGAAGGAAGAGCCCCUUGCCCUGCAACACACCGCCAGGCCCAGGGAGGUGGAGCCUGCUUCCUCCAACAGCACUGUCUGACAGCCCCUCCCUGGGCCCCAACAGCACUAGAAGCACAAGUCCAGGAUCCCUGCUGUGGAUUUUUUUUUAGUUUUUUUUUUUGAGUCAAGGAGGCAAAAAAGUAACACACAAUGAAGACAAAAGGAAGAAAUGCCUGAAAAGGGACAUAGUGAUGCUUGGACAGUGCUCACCAGGGCCUGGCAUCAGAAGGGCCCGGCGGUUAUUACUGGCACAGAUGAGUUUCACUUCAGUUUCUUGGGGUGACAGGGAGAGAAGCCGCUAGAGGUACAUGAAUAGAGAAGGCGACAGCCCGGCUGCUUCCUUACCUCUGCAUUUCUUCAGGCUCUCUGUGAUGGCAUCAUGCCUUGAUUUCCUUUCCUUGAGUUUCUUCUCCAGAUCUGGAGGAAUCAACUCUGAGUCAAGGAAUUGAAACCCUUGACUCUUACAAAGACACAGCUGAGCUGGGGCUGAGGGGAAGGGAGGACAUGGAUGUGGACAGUGACAUGGAAAGGGGGGCGCGUGUGUGGGUGAACUGGGAAUGAGAGGCCAGAGCUAGGGAAAUGGGGCCAGGGAAGAGGAGACAUGGAAGUGAAAGUUAGAACAGCUGGAGAGAUGGAGGAAAGAGAGAGCAGGUGUCAGACCCCCCCCCCAGGUGGAAGAGAAAACUUGCCAGACAAUGCAGUUACACAUCCUGCAAGAUGCAAAGGAUAACAGGAAGCUAAGUUGGGUUCGAGAAAAGCAGCUUGACCCAUGCAGCAACAUCUGCGGGCCUAGAUACCCCUGGAGACCACCAGACGCCCUCCACCCUAGAUCAAAAGACUUCCUCCACUCCAGGACAAAAAUUUCCACUCCUCCUGGCAGCACCCCUCCCCUACCCAAAGUCCCCUAUAAAAAAGUUUCCCCUCACCCAAGCCCCCAGGGUCAAUGGCUUUGUCACCCUUGACUAGCCUGCACCCAAGCUGGAAAUAAAACCUAGCUUGUUGCUUCAUUUUUGCCUGCUCUGGUGGUCUCGGGCAUGCCUCAGUUUACCCUAACAGCAGGGGAGAAGGGAGAUGGAGUAGGGAACUUGGAACCACCCAGUGAAGCAAGGGGACACACAGGAGGCGCCAGGAAAUUGAAGACUGCUGAAGAACCAGGAAGCUAGAGAAACAGCUGUUUUCUUCACCAAGUGGCCCACAUGCUAAGGUUUUUGGCUCAGGCCUUCUGCACCCACAGCCUGGUUAGUGGAUUGCGGAGUCAGAAUGUGCAGAGCAUUUGGGGGAAUGCGAAGUGUGCUGCAGCCACAAACGAAUAGGUAGGCAUAGUGUGGGACAGCCUGUCAUAACUGCACAGUAUAACCUAAUGUCCUAGAAGAGAAAGAGAUGGCACAGCCUCAGGGCUUGGCUGCAUCACAGACCCCUGGCUGGGGGUCUCCACUUCCCCACCUCGCCUCCCACCCACCCUGGAGGGGAGCUCCAGAAGCGCCCGACACCAGGUGGACAGUGAAUGGAUUAGACCGGCAGAGAAUCCAAGCAAAGAGGAGGAGAGGAAAAUAAGAUUCGGAAGAUGACAUUCAUUUCACUGAACCUGGGGAGCCUUGCAAGCAGAAUGUAUGGAAGGCUGGAGAGGCUUUACAGGGUGUUUCUUAAAAGAAAGACUCUUGACCUGGUGGGGCUGGGAUGCGUGCAGGGGAGACCAGCUCAGCUUGCUUUGUGCACCACCACACCUGUACUGUCCAAUGUGGUGGCACCAAACAUGGUACCGACACCUCAAACAUGGCUGGAGCAACGAGGAACCACGUCUUAAAGUGAGUUUUCUCUAACUCAUAAAUUAAGAACUAGCAGGUCAUGGUGGUGCAUGCCUGUAAUCCCAGCACUCGGGAGGCUGAGGCAGGAAGAUCAUUGAAAGUUUGGGGCCAGCCUGGGAUACGUAGUGAGACCCUGUCUCAAAAACAAAAAACAAACAAACUCAUAACAGAAUAUAUCACUAAUAUUUAAAAACACUUACUGAGAUAGCCCGUAGUUCAGUCUCCUGAGUGCUGGGAUUGCAAGCGUGUGCCACUACUCCCAGCAAUAUUUUAAAAAUAGUGGGUACAGGGUGAAAUUGAUGACCUUUGGAUAUAUUGAGUUACAUAAAAUAGUUUACUAAAAUUAUUUCACCACUUCCUUUCUAUCUUUUUAUUGUGGCUACCAGAAAAAAAUUUAAAUUACGUAUGUGGCUUGCAGUGUAUUUCUGAAUCACAUUAUUGUGGCUCACAUUAUAUUUUAAAUUAAACACAUGACCCAUUUCAUAUUUCUGAUUUAUACAUGUGGUCUACUUUGUAUUUCUUUCUUUUUUUCUUUUCUUUUUUUUUUUUUUUUGGUACCGGGGAUCAAACUAGGAACCUUGCACUUUCGAGGCAGGCGGCAGAACCACUGAGCUACAUCCCCGGCCCUGUACUUCAUAUUUAGGAUUUACACCGGCAGCCCACUUCUUAUUUCUGUUUCUGUUUUGGUUUGGGUUUUGGUACAG